UUCAGCUUUAAACUCUCUUCUCUUGUCUGUCCAUCCUAGGUCCUGGAAUCUUCAGUAAGUUUCUAGGAAAAUUGGUAAGAGUAACUGGUAAGAAUUAAGGGAAGAAAGGAGGCUUGCUCAGGACAGAGUUGAAGCAUGAGCACAAAAGACCUAUUCCGGAAGAACAUUCUCUUGUGAAGUUCCACCCGUACUGGCGGACCCAAGAACAUCAAUAGAGGACAGACAUAGAGAAAAGUCCAGAUCCUGUUGCCCACCAGCAAUCAUGCACAGACAGUGCAAAAAUGACAGCGAUGCUCUUUAGGCCAAUCAUCCACGGUGGGCUGAAGCACAUACUGGAGUGCGGACACAGUUCUCCCGGGGCUGCCUGCUGAGAAUGUGCAUGAGGACAUGUCAUGUGCACUUUUGUUGCCAACCAACACCUCAGCAGCAGAGCUGUUCAAGUCCUUGAAUGACUGAUUACACAGAGGGAAAAUUGAUGGGUCAUUUUGUAUGUAUACAUGCACAAACA
Molecule: long non-coding RNA, 508 nt
Filed under: Chinchilla lanigera (long-tailed chinchilla)
Lineage: Eukaryota; Metazoa; Chordata; Mammalia; Rodentia; Chinchillidae
Description: lncRNA (ENSCLAG00000026454.1)
Source: RNAcentral